This 399-nucleotide ribosomal RNA is filed under the name uncultured Lactobacillus sp. RNAcentral describes it as "bacterial SSU rRNA". It matches the Rfam family "Bacterial small subunit ribosomal RNA", at positions 148 to 524 of the family's 1533-position model. The record is from RNAcentral. Lineage: Bacteria; Bacillati; Bacillota; Bacilli; Lactobacillales; Lactobacillaceae.
AUUUAGGAAACAGAUGCUAAUACCGGAUAAAAGCUACUUUCGCAUAGAAAGAAGUUUAAAAGGCGGCGUAAAGCUGUCGCUAAAGGGAUGGGACCUGCGAUGCAUUAGCUAGUUGGUAAGGUAACGGCUUACCAAGGCGAUGAUGCAUAGCCGAGUUGAGAGACUGAUCGGCCACAUUGGGGACUGAGACACGGCCCAAAACUCCUACGGGGAGGCAGCAGUAGGGAAUCUUCCACAAUGGACGAAAGUCUGAUGGAGCAACGCCGCGUGAGUGAAGAAGGUUUUCGGAUCGUAAAAGCUCUGUUGUUGGUGAAGAAGGAUAGAGGUAGUAACUGGCCUUUAUUUGACGGUAAUCAACCAGAAAGUCACGGCUAACUACGUGCCAGCAGCCGCGGUAAU